Molecule: long non-coding RNA, 284 nt
Filed under: Gossypium raimondii (Peruvian cotton)
Lineage: Eukaryota; Viridiplantae; Streptophyta; Magnoliopsida; Malvales; Malvaceae
Description: long non-coding RNA (GRAI_LNC000048)
Source: RNAcentral
CUGAUGAUGACCUUGACUUCGCUUUGCUCACCUUCUUUGGAGACUGAGAGUUUAACGAAGACCUUGAUUCUGAUCGGCUCCUGCUCUGUGAAGGGGACCUUCGCCUUCCAGCCCUUGGAGAAUCUACUGGACUACGGCUGCGAAUAGGGGUUCGACUUCGACUUGGGCUACGGCUGCGAAUAGAGGUUCGACUACGACUUGGGCUACGACUUGGGCUAUGACCAUAGCGACGAUUUCUAUACCUCGGGCUCGGUGAUACAGACAGACUUCUUGUCCGGCUUCUU